This is a small nuclear RNA of Erinaceus europaeus (western European hedgehog), 107 nucleotides long. Lineage: Eukaryota; Metazoa; Chordata; Mammalia; Eulipotyphla; Erinaceidae. The record is from Ensembl.
UUGCUAACUUUAGCAGCACAUAUACUAGGAUUGGAGAAAUACAGAGAAGAUUAAAACAGCUUCUAUGUAAACAUGCCAUGUAAAUUUGUGAAACUUUCCAUAUUAAA